GAUGAACGCCGGCGGCGUGCCUAAUACAUGCAAGUCGAGCGAACGGACGAGAAGCUUGCUUCUCUGAUGUUAGCGGCGGACGGGUGAGUAACACGUGGAUAACCUACCUAUAAGACUGGGAUAACUUCGGAAACCGGAGCUAAUACCGGAUGAUAUUUUGAACCGCAUGGUUCAAAAGUGAAAGACGGUCUUGCUGUCACUUAUAGAUGGAUCCGCGCUGCAUUAGCUAGUUGGUAAGGUAACGGCUUACCAAGGCAACGAUGCAUAGCCGACCUGAGAGGGUGAUCGGCCACACUGGAACUGAGACACGGUCCAGACUCCUACGGGAGGCAGCAGUAGGGAAUCUUCCGCAAUGGGCGAAAGCCUGACGGAGCAACGCCGCGUGAGUGAUGAAGGUCUUCGGAUCGGAAAACUCUGUUAUUAGGGAAGAACAUAUGUGUAAGUAACUGUGCACAUCUUGACGGUACCUAAUCAGAAAGCCACGGCUAACUACGUG
Molecule: ribosomal RNA, 496 nt
Filed under: uncultured bacterium
Lineage: Bacteria
Description: partial 16S ribosomal RNA
Rfam family: Bacterial small subunit ribosomal RNA
Source: RNAcentral